UACAUCAGCUUGGUGAACAAAAAAAAAGGGGGAAAAACUUCGCUUUCGGAUUCAGUUGAGGUGGAGGCCCUCGUUGUGACAAAGUUCAUUCCAGAAGAAAAGUUUACGUCAGUCUCUGCUUGAUCUCAUAACUGGUAGCUUCGACUUCUGUACAGUACUCGCAAGCAAAGAUGGAGCCUUUGCUGAAAGGCGAAAGCAGUGGUCAGAGGAUGCGACCGCCUGGGAUUUUCCAUCAUCGCUCACAUGCUAUAGCCUACGGCACGCCCUCCGUGAAAGCGGCAGCACUUGUGGAUCUGGCUGAAGACGGCGUCGGCAUCCCGGAGCAAAUCCUCGAUUCGUCUAGAUUUCAGAGUUCUGCUAGAUUUUAUUUUAUAUUUAUUAAAUUAAACUUUAUAUGGUCUCUUGGUUACUUUGCCCUGCUAGUCCUGAAUUUCCUCGAGAAACCCUUGUGGUGUGAAAAAUAUACCGCUUAUUCUUGCGAAGAUAGGGAGUAUUUCUUUCUGGGGCAGCUGCCAUAUCUAACUGGUGCAGAAUGUGUUAUUUACGAGGGUAUAACUCUUCUUGUGCUUAUCGUGCAUAUUUUUUUCCCGAUAUCGUAUGAAGGCUCCUGCAUAUAUUGGAAAAAAACUGUUAAUCAAUUGAAGGUGUUGUGUCUGUUAGUUCUGGCUGCUGAUAUGGUGGUUUAUGCUGUGUAUUUGUCUCCAGUGACUUUUUAUUCUCUACCUGUCAGAUUUGCACCUUAUGUCAGGGUUCUUCUUUUCAUUUUACAUAUUAGGGAAUUACGAGCAACCCUUACCAUCUUGGCUGGAAUGCUUGGCACAUACCUGAAUGUCCUGGCCUUGGGGCUUCUGUUUCUUCUUUUCUCAAGUUGGGUGGCCUAUGUGAUGUUUGAAGAUACUCAACAGGGGAAAAUAGUAUUCACUUCCUAUGGCACCACAUUGUAUCAGAUGUUUGUUUUAUUUACCACAUCCAAUAAUCCAGAUGUUUGGAUUCCUGCAUACAAGGCUUCACGUUGGUACUGCCUGUUUUUUGUUCUCUUUGUGCUGUUGGGGGUCUACUUUGUCACGAAUUUGGUCCUUGCCGUUGUUUAUGACAGUUUCAAGAGUGAGCUUGCAAAACAAGUUUUUGAGAUGGAUCAAAUGAGAAGAAAUAUGUUGGGGAAAGCAUUUGAUCUGUUAGAUGAUAAUCAUGUUGGGUAUCUUAACAAAGACCAAUGUAUUGAACUCUUUCAGGAGCUGAACAAGUACAGGACUUUGCCAAAUAUUUCCCGGGAAGAAUUUGAGUUGAUAUUUGAUGAGCUGGACGAUAGUCAUGAUGUAAAGAUCAACAAGGAUGAAUUUGCUGAUAUUUGCAAUGCCAUUGCUUUAAAGUUCCAGAAGGAGGAUAGUCCAUCUUACUUUGAGUACUUUUCAUUCUACCAAGCUUCUAUCUCCAAGAAGUUGAAAGCCUUUGUGCGGUGCCCCAAGUUUGGAUUGCUAAUAUCCUUCAUUCUUAUAUUGAAUCUGAUUGCUGUUGUAAUUGAGACAACGCUUGAUCUACAAAAUAAUUCUGCUCAAAAGGUGUGGCAAGGGGUUGAGUUUGUUUUCGGGUGGAUAUAUGUAAUAGAAAUGGCUUUAAAAGUUUAUUCAUAUGGAUUUGAGAAUUAUUGGCGGGAUGGUCAAAAUCGCUUUGAUUUUAUGAUCACAUGGAUAAUUGUCAUCGGGGAAACUAUGACUUUUGUUACACCUGAUGGGCUGAUUUUUUUCUCAAAUGGAGAAUGGAUUCGGUACCUUCUUUUAGCAAGAAUGCUGAGGUUGAUAAGGCUCCUUAUGCAUGUCCAGCAAUACCGAGCCUUUGUGGCAACCUUCCUAACUCUCAUACCAAGUUUGAUGCCAUACCUUGGAACCAUAUUUUGUAUCUUAUGUAUUUAUUGCUCCCUUGGUGUACAGAUCUUCGGUGGAAUUGUCAAUGCUGGAAAUCCCAAAUUGGAAACAACAGGCCUUUCUGACAAUGACUAUCUGAUCUUUAAUUUUAAUGAUUAUCCAAAUGGAAUGGUUACACUUUUCAAUUUGCUAGUCAUGGGAAACUGGCAUGUAUGGAUGCAGAGCUACAAGGAAUUAACAGGAACUUCUUGGACCUAUCUUUACUUUAUUAGCUUCUACUUAAUAACUGUUCUGCUGCUUUUGAAUUUGGUUGUUGCUUUUGUCUUGGAGGCAUUCUUUGCUGAAAUGGAGCUUGAGACGUCUGCUGAUACUAGAGAAGAAGAUGACAAGGAGGUUGAAGGAGAAAGACAUCGAAGACGACGUAUUGGCACCAAAUCCCGCAGCCAAAGGGUUGAUGCUCUUCUUCAUCAUAUGUUGAGCUCUGAGUUGUGUCAAGCACAGCCUUCACAUCCAUAACGGCUGUUGCAGGUGAAACGGGAAAGCUACUUGUCUACCUGGUUUUUUCUCUUACGCAAAGAAGUCUGUCUUUGUUGAGCUUCCUCAAUUUAACUUGGGAAGCGCUGAGGAGAACAUUUCAGUAUAUACAUGUAUCUGUAAUGCUUCAUGGGUCAGUGGUGUCAUCGUUCUGCUUGAUGGGUUCAAGGCUGGUACUAGAGGUGGGGAAAUAUGAGACAGAAUUAUAUACUAGUUUCACACAACACAUUUAAAUACUAUAAAGUUCAUUGACAACUUAAUAAAAGAAAAUGAUGACACAUUUUAUUUUGUUCAGUUGUUAAUAGAUCUUGUAGUAUUUAAUUAUAUUAUGUGAGACUUUAAAGUAAUUCUCCAAAAAUGAAAUGAAACAUGUGUGGAUCUUGAGUGAUUAGUUGGAGGUGGAUUGAAAGUUUUCUUUUGUUUUUUUUUUUUUUUUGGUUUUUGGGUAAUCUUUCCUCCCUAUGGAAAGAGAAUUGACGAUUAAACAUGAAUAAUCUUGUAGUAUUUAAUUAUAUUAUGUGAGACUUUAAAGUAA
Molecule: RNA transcript, 2931 nt
Organism: Prosopis cineraria
Lineage: Eukaryota; Viridiplantae; Streptophyta; Magnoliopsida; Fabales; Fabaceae
Gene name: two pore calcium channel protein 1
Exons: 24
Source: RefSeq, a predicted model, not a curated record